AGUAUCGCGAGAUCAGGAAGGUGGCCGAGUGUGUCGCCGCGGCCAUCAGGGGGGUUAUAGCCAUGUGACUGAUCUUCGUCCAAGAAUAUGUAAAGAAAAAGUGUUGAGUUGGCUUUUAGGGCUAGAGCAAUGUAUCUUAGGCUCACUUAAGGAAGCUGUAGAGAUGAGCCCAAGGAGGGAAACCAGAAGAGCCCCCCAGGCUCACCAGUUGUUUGUUGGCUCCCUACAAACAUGUCAUUCAAGUGGCUAAUCUUACAACAGCACAAAUUCAUCUAACCAGAAAGAGAAGAGGAGGCUCCAAAGGCACUUGACUACUGAGCAUCACCCUGGACGUGUACAAGUCUGCGUCCUUAUUGUUUUCUUCAUUGGGCCGAACUUUCUGGUCCUCAUCCAACAGCUCUUCUAUCACGUGUUCGAAAGUGUCAGCCAAUGAUGUCAAGCCUCUUGAACCUGCCUUGGGCCCAUUCACGCUCUCCAGAGUCCCAUGGGUCCGCACACCUGGAGAUACUCUAUUAUAGCAAAGAAGAAAGAUAAUUUCAUUGAGCCAUCCUGUUUUACAGGAAAUUCUGCAAGUGGCAACGUGGGUCCAUUCCGUGUGUGUCACUAGAGCUGGCGCAAGCCCAUGGCCAUGGUGAGGCAGCGUUUCCACUGGAACUAAUCUGAUACCUGCACCAGCUCUUGCAACUGUGCAGUGUUCCCACUGCAAACUACGGAUGGGGUAAAAGACUGCUCACCUCCUAUUUCUCAUCUAAUCUCACACACUCUGUUUGAUGAGGCUAUGGAGAAACAGGUCUUCUCAUACACUAAAGGUGGGAGUACAAACAAUUCAAGCCCUGUGCAGGACAAUUAGGCAAUACCUAUCAAAAUUAUACAUGAUUUUUCCUGCUGACCCAGCAAUUCCACUUCUGGGAAUAAUUGACAGAUAUAGGUGCAUAUGUACAAAAUGAUGGAAAGCUCUCUGGUAUAUAUUAGUAAGUGAUAAAACAAGGUGUAAAAUAGUGUAUAUAUGGCUACUACCUUUUGUUUUAAAAAUGGGGGAAAAUGGUGGAGCUUGCGGUGAGCCGAGAUCGUGCCACUGCACUCCAGCCUGGGCGACAGAGCGAGACUCCGUCUCAAAAAAAAAACAGGGUGGGGUGGGGGGGAAAUAAUAGUACAUACUCAUAUUUACCUGUAUCUAUAUAAAACACACUAUCAAGGAUUCACAAGAAACUAAUACAAAUGAUCACCUUAUAGAUGGUAUGUAUUGGGGGAUACUGAGGUGAGCAGGGUAUAAGUGGGGCAAGACUUUUCAGUGUAAACUUCUUUUAAAUUUUAUUUUGAUUUUUGAAUAAUGUAAAUUAACUGUCAAAUAAUUAAAUUAAAAAUAACCAAUUUAUUAACAAAA
This 1384-nucleotide long non-coding RNA is filed under the name Homo sapiens (human). RNAcentral's name for it is "BDNF antisense RNA". Lineage: Eukaryota; Metazoa; Chordata; Mammalia; Primates; Hominidae. The record is from RNAcentral.